This 77-nucleotide transfer RNA is filed under the name Pectinatus brassicae. RNAcentral's name for it is "tRNA-Arg". It matches the Rfam family "tRNA". From Rfam's summary of the family: Transfer RNA (tRNA) molecules are approximately 80 nucleotides in length. Their secondary structure includes four short double-helical elements and three loops (D, anti-codon, and T loops). Further hydrogen bonds mediate the characteristic L-shaped molecular structure. tRNAs have two regions of fundamental functional importance: the anti-codon, which is responsible for specific mRNA codon recognition, and the 3' end, to which the tRNAs corresponding amino acid is attached (by aminoacyl-tRNA synthetases). tRNAs cope with the degeneracy of the genetic code in two manners: having more than one tRNA (with a specific anti-codon) for a particular amino acid; and 'wobble' base-pairing, i.e. permitting non-standard base-pairing at the 3rd anti-codon position. Lineage: Bacteria; Bacillati; Bacillota; Negativicutes; Selenomonadales; Selenomonadaceae. The record is from RNAcentral.
GCGCCAAUAGCUCAGUUGGAUAGAGCAACGGCCUUCUAAGCCGUGUGUCGCAGGUUCGACUCCUGCUUGGCGCACCA